CGUCAAAUCAUCAUGCCCCUUAUGUCUUGGGCUACACACGUGCUACAAUGGGCAGUACAGACGGAAGCGAAGCCGUGAGGCGGAGCAAAUCCGAGAAAGCUGUUCGUAGUUCGGAUUGCAGGCUGCAACUCGCCUGCAUGAAGUCGGAAUCGCUAGUAAUCGCAGGUCAGCACACUGCGGUGAAUACGUUCCCGGGCCUU
Molecule: ribosomal RNA, 200 nt
Filed under: uncultured organism
Description: partial small subunit ribosomal RNA
Rfam family: Bacterial small subunit ribosomal RNA
Source: RNAcentral